UUGAAAGGGGAAACGAUGAGUACACCUGGAGACAUGUACUUUGCAAGCGGAAGGAAUUAUAUGCAUAACAUGCAGGCUUAGAGCAAGGAAGGAUUUAUUUGGUGGACUGCGAAGCUCAAGUUUAGUUGGAAAAGUUUUAAUUAAGCACCUAGAAAGAUUGUUAAUGUAAUGCUUCCCAACAAAAAUCAAUUUAAGGUUAGCCCUUUAAUAACUAAACCCGAACCACAGAUAUCGUUUUGUGAUCCACCCAAACCAGCUAACCAUGAGUUCAGGUCGCUGUGGACCGUGAGCACGGCUGUUAUAACAGUUUUAACACUCUGCAGAGGUGGUACAACUUUACAAAUGAGUUGUGAUUUCCCUUUUUGCUGGGUUGUAUGGACUCUUAAACACUUCUGAGGUGAGUUGGCGGGAAUCACUACGAGGCUGUUCCAAAGAGUCUUCCAGUCCAAAGAUUGAUGAGCUAAGGUUUCAACACAUGGCGAACCCCGAGAACAACCCCUCCCCCCUCUUGCCCAACGCCAUAGGUACUAUUCCCUUCCCUUGCGUUUCCACCAAUGGCUCUUACAAACUUGGAGAUACUCUCUCCAUCGAUUCCACCGAUUAGUCCUUAAGCUCAACUCAACCAACACCAGCUUAAACAUUGCACAACAACAUCAAACAUUGUUUCUCAUUUGCCUGAGUCACCUAGGGGUUCCAUGUUGCUAAAAUAUUACCAUCCCACAUUGCAUAUUUCAUUAACCAAGAUUAAAUAAGAACCAACCAUCCUGGCUACCUUCCACAUUUCAUAUUGCACUUUACAUUCCAUAUUUACCUUUUCUAGAAUCGCCAUGUGUAAUUUAUAGGAUUGGAACCUAGGGUGCAAAACUCUUUUGCGGUAGAGAUAGCAACACACAGAAAAAUCUAGUUGACAGAACUGGAAUGGGU
This 924-nucleotide long non-coding RNA is filed under the name Setaria viridis. Its description in RNAcentral is "long non-coding RNA (SVIR_LNC010949)". Lineage: Eukaryota; Viridiplantae; Streptophyta; Magnoliopsida; Poales; Poaceae. The record is from RNAcentral.